Molecule: ribosomal RNA, 490 nt
Filed under: uncultured bacterium
Lineage: Bacteria
Description: partial 16S ribosomal RNA
Rfam family: Bacterial small subunit ribosomal RNA
Source: RNAcentral
AUUGAACGCUGGCGGCAGGCCCAACACAUGCAAGUCGAACGGUAACAGGAAGCAGCUUGCUGCUUUGCUGACGAGUGGCGGACGGGUGAGUAAUGUCUGGGAAACUGCCUGAUGGAGGGGGAUAACUACUGGAAACGGUAGCUAAUACCGCACAACGUCGCAAGACCAAAGAGGGGGACCUUAGGGCCUCUUGCCAUCGGAUGUGCCCAGAUGGGAUUAGCUAGUAGGUGGGGUAACGGCUCACCUAGGCGACGAUCCCUAGCUGGUCUGAGAGGAUGACCAGCCACACUGGAACUGAGACACGGUCCAGACUCCUACGGGAGGCAGCAGUGGGGAAUAUUGCACAAUGGGCGCAAGCCUGAUGCAGCCAUGCCGCGUGUAUGAAGAAGGCCUUCGGGUUGUAAAGUACUUUCAGCGGGGAGGAAGGGAGUAAAGUUAAUACCUUUGCUCAUUGACGUUACCCGCAGAAGAAGCACCGGCUAACUCCGUG